Molecule: transfer RNA, 73 nt
Filed under: Marmota monax (woodchuck)
Lineage: Eukaryota; Metazoa; Chordata; Mammalia; Rodentia; Sciuridae
Description: tRNA.Ala
Source: RNAcentral
UGAGGAUAUAGCUCAGUUGGUAGAGUGCUUACCUUGCACGCACAAGCCCUGGGUUCAAUCCCCAGCACCACAA